Gallus gallus (chicken) is the source of this 9325-nucleotide long non-coding RNA. RefSeq lists it as uncharacterized. The record is from RefSeq and is a predicted model, not a curated record. The transcript is spliced from 2 exons. NCBI's taxonomy places the organism in Eukaryota, Metazoa, Chordata, Aves, Galliformes, Phasianidae.
GCGCUCGGGCGCGGGGUUGUACGUCUGUAUUGAGCGCGGCGCCACCGUGUGGGACCCGCGGGACGCGCCGCAGCUCUCAGCCGUCCGCCGCCGCCGCUCCCCGCCGCCCGGCGCACGGGAUGGGCCUGAAGCUGCGCUCCGCGUUCUCCGUCAGCACCACGUCGUAGCGGCACAGCGGCGGCCUGCGACAAAGCACGAAGCGCUGCACGGCCGCACGGGGAGGUGGGGAAUCACCGUCCCCGGAGGUGUUCAGAGCCGUGGGGAUGCGGCACUGAGGGACGUGGGCAGUGGGCGCGGUGCGGUGGGCUGGGGUUGGACCUGGGGAUCUCAGGGGUCUUUUCAGUACAAGGGUAUGGCUGCAGAGCACACGGAGGUGGCAGGGGUGACCGAAGCCUCUGUACAAGUCCCAUCAGUGUGCUGUGGUCAGUGCUUGGCAGUUCCAGGUCACCAGGACUCCAGGAGGGAACGACUCUCCCCAUUUCACUGGGUGUAGGCACUUACUGCGGUGUAAGGUGCACCCAGGGCGGUGCAUCUGUAUUUCCCUGAGAGUUCUGCUUGCUUUCAGCACUGAGUUCAGGCCUGGGCAGCUUCUGCGCAGCCACACGCAGGUCACGAUGCUGACCAGAGGUUAAAACAUCGGGCCACAAAUUGCGUUUUCAACACAGUGAGAUAACCUCUGUGGUCAGGCAGAGCUCGGGGAUCUCUGUGCGUGCGUGCAAGGCAGAAUUUACUCCCUGGCUGUAUAUACGAGAAUCAUUAAAUGUCAUGUAAUUCCUCUUGACAAACCUGCCAGGCUUGGGAUGUGGGAGAUUCCUUUACUUCUGCCCAGUUUGCAGCAAGGACAGCUUGUGCAGCACUUACCUCUCCGGGUUGCUGAGUGAGCGGAACCUCAUCUGGAGAAUCCUGAGCUUGAAUUUGGGGCCGAUGACAGAUCCCGUGGAAAACGUCAUGGAAAUCCUUGUUAUGUUUUCAAAAUCCUGGUUGAAUCCAACGAGCAAACUGAUGUGGUUGUACUGCUGGAAGGCUGCAGCUUCGCUAAAGGAAAGGAAGAGGGCUCUGAAACAUUGAGUGUUUCUGUGCUGCUGAGGUGCGACUUGUUGGCAAUGGCAAAAGGCAGCAGUGAGGUGAGUAGGGGGAGCAGAUGGAGCGGAGCAGAGGGCUCGUGUCACGCUGCUGGCCCAGUGGGAGGGUUUGGAGACGUACUGUGCACUGGCUGGGAGAGGAGAGGGCUGAGGGAGGUGCUGGAUUUGCCAUAUAGGAUGGUUUAACCCAACAGAAGCGGGAUGGAGGCGGGAAGCAUCAUGCUGAGCAACCUCCCUGGAGGCUUGCAGGGUGCCAAAGCAGCGUGGAUCGUCCUAGCAGAGCAGAGCAGACCUAAUAUCCAACCUGAACCUGCGCUCCCAGCACAUUUCCUUUCAGUGGUAAAGAGGAGGUGUCACCACAUACCAUCGGUGUCCGAGUGGAUGACAUCAACAAACUGUGCAUCAGUAGGGUCCAACCUCUCACUGGGUGGCUUUCCUCUGUACAGGGGGCCCGCUGGGUCGAGGCCUGCAACACAAAACCAUGCAUGUGUCAUCACCCCGAUGCACAGCUGAUAAUGAUUGCUGUGAGCAGCAGUCCUGGAAGCAAAAGGGCUGCCAGCAGGAGGGUUACCUGUGAUCCUUCCCAGCUGACCACCAAACAUCUGUCCCACAAGGCCAGAGAUGUGUGCUCCCAGGCUUACUCCUAUCAUGUGAAUGGAGUCAAGCGACGCGCCGUUAAUCUGGGAUUUAAAAUAUAACCACAGGUGCUUAGGUGUGCUAAGAAGGCAUAAAGAACAUCAGGAGGAGGAAGGUAAAUGCAUCUCUCUGCUUUUUCCUGUUUCCCAGUGGUGCGUUCCACUCCAUAUAAAUAUCAGAGUUGGACUCAAUGAUCCUUAUGGGUUACGUCUCACUGGGGAUGUUCUAUGAUUUUAUGAUUUUCCCUUUUAAUAGUCCCACAGUGUAUCCAGCACUCAUAUUUGAGGCCCAUAUCCAAGAGCUGUGAAUGCAACAGCUCUGGCGAAGGUUGUAUUUUCCUGGGGCAGUGAUGACAGGUUGGGCAGGAAGAAGCAUUCAUGGGCUCCGUGCAAGGCAUUAGCAGACACAAAGAUGCAGACACCCGGUGUCACCUUAAGCUGACUUGGGACACCCAGAAGGUGGAAACAGAGUUUCAGUGGAUGGGAAAACAAAUAUCUGGAAAUGCAAAGUGAACUGAAUAUCGCAGCAAAAUGCCAUCCUACCACAUCCAAGCCCUUUUAGGAGUUUCUUUUCCCAGCCGUGCUGCUGUUCUUAAGCACUUCCUUUGUGCCCUGUGCAUGUUGUGCAUUAAUGACUAUAUCAUAGUGUGAACAUUCCACUUACCAACAUUUCAUCCAUAAAUUUCUUCAGAAUCUCAGCAACUUUCUUGCCAUUUCUGGAAGCAUUACUGUAGAUGAUAGUAGUUGCCCCUCGGUUCCAGUCCACAACAAUGAUGUUCAUGUCCUCUUCGGAAAGCAGGAGAUGCACCAGGUCAGGGAUCCAGACUGGGGCUGAGCCUGUGGGCCGGUAUCCAUGGAUAAUGAAGGUGGUCUUCUUGGUCAGAUCGAGAUACUUGGAGGCUGUCGAAUUGAGCUCUUCAGCACAGUCUUCAUUCUGCCUGGUGUACAGCAUCAGCUUCACUUCCAGGUCGGUCCCUAUCAAGGCGCUGCUGAAGCUGAGCACGGUGAAAGCAGGGCAUGUCUCCUUGGGAUCUGAAACGAGCACAGAGUGGCAUUCCUCAGGUUAGCAGCCAAGCGUUUCUCUUGGCCUUUUCUACCUGCCAGCCCUGCCCAGGCACAGAACGUGUGCUGGGAGCUGCCUGGGCUGCUCCUUUCCCUGCCACUGUGUCUGUCCCUGCUCUGUAUCUUGGUUUUUCUUGCUGUGUUGGAACAAAGGCAGCGAGUGCACCAGCACAGCCCUGUAUGCUGUAUACCUUCCACUAGCAGCUGGGAGGUGGCACGGGCUCUCCAGAAACCUUGGAAGCUAUUACAGAAUGACAGCGAGGCUGACGGCUGUGUAGGUUGGACAGCACACCCAGAUGCCCUGGAGAAGCUCUAGGGUGAAGAGAUCUCUCUGUAUUUUGUCUGGAGCUGGCAAGCUGCGGGGGAUCUUGCUGCUGUGAGGGGCAGCUCAGUGCUUCAUUUGUAUCUGCAGAUACAGCAUGCUAUUUCAGACUGUGAAAUGGGACACCCUUUGUCUGAAUGAGAUACGGUACUGAUAACACUUUGUACACAGCUGGAGAGUUCCCGAAUUUUCAGUAAGUACUGCUUUUGACGACAAUCUUUGCCAUUUGGAAGCCUGUCUUUGUUCUCUGCUUUUCCAGCAGGCCACCAGCUGAGCCUUCACAGCCCCAUGCAAGCUCCAGCAGGGCACUGCUAGGAAAAGGAAUAACAGUCUCCAGGCAGACUGCUUACUGAGACCCUCCCAGGUUCUGUAGCCUCUCUCUGGCCCACAGUCUCCUUGGUUUUACUGAAGAACCUUGUGGGAGAAAGCAUCUCUCUUGCACACACACCCUGGGCUGCAUUAAUUGCUCCCCUGCAGUUGCUAAAGGGCUUUUGCUGCUCAAAAGCAAAAGCUGUGCUGGAGGUGGAAGAGGUUUGGGAAACCUGCAGCUUUAAGGCAGGGGUGCUCUAGCAGGUGUCCAGCACUCCGUGCAUUUUAAUUUCCAAAUGAUGGAUCUCUCGCAGUUCCCACAAUAAACUUUCAUGCUUUUCCUCCUAUGGAAACCAGAAGCAUGAGAGUAAUAUAAAUGCUGUGUGCCCAGCACAUAAAAUAAUCCUCUCAGUUGCCAUAGUUCUGCUAAUUACUUUGCAGAAGCCCCAGGAGCUCCAGAAAUAAAAGUUAAUAGGCUAAGAGGAUGUUGCAGUUAACUCCAACUGGAUGUUUUAAAUUACUACUAUAAAUUCAGAAAUAAAUUUUAACAUUUGAGAUCCACAGAGCCCUUCCUAUGGAAAGCCCAUGGUGAGAUACGAAUAGCGGGAUGGGAGCAGCGGGGAGUGAACUCUCAGGCAGGGCUAGCGAGCAUCAGUUGAAGUCAAUGGCUUUGAGCUGAGGGUGUUCUGCCUCCUAAAGCUCCCAUCUCCCAGGAGCACAUCACUCUGGGCCCUGCUUUCUCGAGUCGAGGUGACCUUUGGUGCCUCUUUCUUGGUCCGUUUGCUCUCCAUUGGGAACAGCAGCAAGAGUUCUCCAUCUGGAGACCUCAGAGCAGCUAGCAGAGAGCUAUGGUUUUGUGCACAGUGACAAUGGGUGACUCUCCUCUAGGUGCUACUGCAGUGCAAGAGAAAAAAAAACCCACGUUUGUCUUAGAUUAAUAACUCAGUGUGUUUCACUUCCCGUAUAGCACUGUUACGCAGUAUUGUUAAUCAUCUGUACUGCCACGGAGGCCAUAGAAACGCAGGCAGAAAUGCUGGACCAGAAUUAUUGCUACAUGGUGCAAAGCUGCUCUGAUUGCUUCAUUUGUCUCUUAUCUCUGCGUUGUGCUGUGACAUGCCCAGGGGAGCACUUGGUUGGCACCAGAGCAGCCCAAACCCUCUGCCGAAGAAGGGCUAUUAAAGAGCUGAUCGGGAUUUGCUAAUCCCUAAAAGAGGAAGAGUUUAAAAAGCAUUGUAUCUGUACCAAGUCUGUUAAAUUUGUUCUGUUUUCAUUAACAAGAUCAGAUGAGUGUUGAUGGAGGGGGAAAGCCUGCCGGCUUCUCCCUGCUGCAUGGCUGUGUGUCGCAGGAGCUGACACAUGAGGGCAGCUGGGGAUCCUGCAUUCACUCCUCCUCCUGGUAGGCACAGGAUGGCAAACACCGCUUUGCUAGGCCAGGUCCUCUCACGCCUCAGCACUCUAGCAGAAGCCAAAGCGAUCUGCUUUGAUGUUCCUAUGUUGGAGCUGGACAUCUGCCUUGAGCAUGAGAUCAGCCUCUCAGGUGUGCCUGCAGCAGGAGGGGCAUCUUCGGCACAGCUGGUUUGUGGAGACCAGGAGCAGGUGGGAGCACUGCGGCCAUGACAGUGGUGCUGGGCAGACCCUGCAGCAGUCACUGCAGUCAGUGCCAUGCAAGGCUCGCGUCCUCCUGGGCUCUCUCCAAACACGGUGUUUGGAGACUUUCCCUUCCUUUUGUCCUGGGUGUUCAUCCUAUGGGCAGGAAGGUCCUCAUCUUUGAGGCUUUCUGCACAGAAAGAAUGGCAUCUCCAUUUUUCAACUCUGCCAGUUCAGCCCCUUGCAAAGUGAAGGUUCAAAAGGUUUCCUCCUCAUCGUCACUUCAUCAGAGCUGCUUCUGUCAGAUCUGUGGCUGUCCUAACUGCGAACCCUGGGAGACCACAUUGCCUCACAGAGCCCACCAAGGGGCUGCUCCCUACUCAGCAGCUUCUGCUGACCUCCAACCAGCAUGCUGCUGCUCCCAUGGCAGCCUGCAGCAUCCCUGACUUCCAAAGCACCAUUACCUUGCCCGGGAUGUGCCAUUUGUUUCAGGAGACCCUUACGCAUCAGCACUAAAGUGGUCAGCUUUGAGCACUGCCACACAGCAAAUCCCAGCAGCGUUGCUGAGUAUUCCCAUGCUUUCCACACAAAGGGUGUGCCCUCCACCUCUUAAAAUGGCCUUCAGUAUCUCCCACUUUUAACUAUGUUUCCUACAGUGUAUUCAUCACAAUAAGCAAAACCAGACCUCCAAGACUGCCCGAGGGAGCCUGAUGAAAUAUCAGCCUUCCUGAGAAUCCUUUGCAUUGUUCUAAAUCCCGUUUGUUUUCCCUGCAAAGCGUGGAGCUGCAGCUCCACAAAGCAAGCGACGCGCUCCCAUGUGUGCGUUAACAGGAGGCAGCACAUUUGUUGAUUAUUAAACAGGUUGAUUCUUGAUGGGGCCACGAGGAUACCAAGUGAAGUUUAGCAUUCAUAAAUGCGAAUUCGUCCUUUUGUGGCUGUCAUGUAACGCGCUGCUGAAAAGAAAUCAUUCUUCUCUGAAGAUUUCAGAUGACGUUUUCAGUGUCGAUGGAUGGUGCUUAUGUAAGAGGAAUGCUUGCAAAGCGAAGAAGAGAUCAUACAAAUGACUUCUGGCUUUAUGUUUGGAACUCUUCAGUUCAUGAAACCAAGACAGUUUGCUUUAAGACAACUAAUGCUAGUUAAAGACUCCACACAGUAACCUUACAAUGCAGAGGGCAGAUAGGUUUAUGCUUCUGCAAAGCAGAGUAAGAGUUAUAUUGAACAAAAAAAAUCAAAGCGAUUGACUUCCUACCUGUUUUCACCCCAUACAAAAGGCAGAAGAACGUGACACACAGCCACAGCAUGUGGGCUCCCGCAUGGAACUUCUACAGGUAGAAAACCUUACUGGUCCUGUGGUUUCUUUGGCAUGUCGUCGCUGUCUCGGACAGCUGUUUGCUCUCUUUUUCUGCCAGCAAUGUAGGUGUGGUGAAAGGAGGAAGUUCCCAGCCAAGAAAUGAAGACGGGCCUGAAGUUAUACAACUGGCACUUCUUUCUCAAAAGGUGGGGCACCUUCUCUUGUAGCAGGAUCCCUUGUUUUAAAUAUCGUUUGCCCUGGGCUGUGACUAAUCAAAGACAGACAUGGUUUGGUAUCACGCUGUAAGCAGCAGUUUGACUACCUGUGUUGAAAUUACUGUGUGCCUGUUCGCCUUCUGCAAAGAGCGUCAAAAUGCAGGGAAGAACGUAGGUGUGCAAAGUUGAUAGGCAUCUGGGCAGGGCCAGCACUCAGCUUCCCAGGACCCCACGUUGCAGCAUUGGGACACUCCCAUCCGUGUUCCUCUGGCUCUCCCACGCUCUGGCUGUCUCCAGCAGGUGGAAGCCCAGCAUCCCUUUUAACCUGUGAGGUCCUGCAGCCUCAGUCAGGGUGUGGAUGGGCACCACUCCAUCCCGACAAAGGGAAGGUCCCAGUUCAACUCAAUACGUGCUGCCAAGAAGCUGCUGUUUUGGAUAGCACUCAUACAUCUGGCAUCCCCAUCAUGUUUUCCUAAAGCCCUGCUGGAACCUUGUGAAUCCAGAUCCAAUUCAAGUGAGAAAGGCUUUUUUUCCCCUGCUGGACAGUAAGAAGACGGCAGAUGCAGAGACAACUGUCAGGGCUGGGAAAGGAAGCCUGAAAUUGGAGCUGGAAAAUCUUGUGGCAAAAUUGGUGUGAUGGAGAUGGAGUUUGUGAUGGAGUGAGAGAGGGGAGGGGAAGGGAGAACAGAGACGGCUGCUAGAUAGACAAAGCCACCACACAGCUUCUAGCGUUUUCUUUGCAGGGAGAGGGAACAUGGGGAGGAUCAGAAAUACCUCAUUAAGCCCAAGCUCUGUUUUGCCCCUGGUGAGAUGCAGCGAGGAGCUGAACUAUUACAGUUCCCAGUGGCGUAGCUGUUUCUUUGGUCCGUACUGUACAUACGAAGCUUGAGUUAAUCCUGAACAGCCUGCUGGCUGCCUGCAGCUCCUUCUUGUUCAGAUGAGCACACUGCUGGCUCAGUGCAGGCACUACUAACUCCUCAGGCAGGGGCAGCCCCAGCCACACGCAAUUUUUUCUCAAGCCCCUCAAACCAAGCAUCCUCCUGUGGCUCAGCACUCAGCCUCGCAGGACAUCAGACAUGCUCCACGUGGUACUCACACAGGCCAACGUUGGGUUUUGUUGAUUCUGAAGAGGAUAAACAUUGUGAAAAGACACCCAAGAUUUCUGCAGAAUCUGGAAGCUGUGGGCUCCAGGAAAAUGCCUUUAUUUUCUGAUGCACUGGCAAUAGAAAAUACUCUGAAAUACUGUUUUCCUUCCAGAUUCUUUCUCACCUCUACCAGUAGCCCUAAACUGUCAAAAUAUUUUCUCCUUAGCAAGUUCUGCCGAUGGUGUGAAGGAAUCAGUCCAAGAGUAAAACACGCAAGAUGAACAGAAGGCUUUUACCUAUUGCAAAAGAUGUUUGAGAAUCGGAGAUAAAGUGAGGUAAAGAAAUAAAGAGGGCCUUGCCUUUCUUCUCAGCAUAAGAAGAGGUAACAUUUCUGUUGCCUGAAGCUAAGCUCCCCUCGUUCCUUUUCCCCAUCACUUCCCUUAGAUGGCUGUUUCCCUCUGAGACAGCUCAUCUGAGCAGCUGUCAACAGGCACUGGGCUGGUGCUUCCCUAUGACUUCUUCCCUGUGACUCAGCCAAAACACAGGGAUUUUGAGUAACCACAAUUUUAGCACAAAUUGCACUGUUUAUACUGGAAAAUAUAUGGAGCUCAGCAGUGUCAAUGUCUGGUGCCACCACUGACCUAUGGUUAUCUGGGUUUUGUAUAGCAAACUCUAACACAAAACACAGUUAUACUUGGAAUGUAAGCCUCCAUGGUCACCAACAUCCCAUCCCGAGUUUUGAAAUGCAAGAACAACUCCAGACAGUGAAAACUACAUUUUUACCACAUGUAGAAAACAUCUAAGAACAGAACUGGCACCAAAUAAAGAAUAAGUUAACAGAAGGUAUAAUUUUACAUGAAAUCCCCCGGAUUCAUCAGUUUCCCGUGGGAGGGACGUUUUCAUGGAGAUACUGCAGAGACAAAUCUGUCCACUUCAUUUCUUGCUCUUUCACAGACUCCGUUGUACCUCCAUUGUCUUGCUCUGGUUCAGGGAGCUCAUUCUGAGAACAACAAAAAAAGGUACAUUGCAUUCUGUGCAUAACAAGCUUCCUAAAAGGAGCAGGUGACGAAGACUUCAUAUGAAUAAAUACAAAAAUCCACAAAUGAGACCGGAGGGGGCAUCUGAACAAUACAUAUCACACAUACUGAUUCAGUUAAAAUAUUACUAAGCCCACUGAGGAACAGUGUUCUUUUCAUAUGAUUAUGAUGCUUCAUCUGAAAGGCAAAUUGGCUUUCCAGGGCCCUGGGGCCUUGCUAUGUACUCAGACUGCACACGCAGUGAAGGAGAAUAUAGAGAAAAUGCAAAAUAAGUAAAUAAUAGCAUGGUGUGAUUAUUCCACUGCUUGUUUGGAUUGUGUUUCUUUGUCGCUGCCCAGAAUAUAGAUAUUGCAUUUACUGUAGCUGUAUUAAGACAGCUGCCUUUGUAACAUAUCACUUUCUUAUGGCAAGGGGAGAAAUCCUUCCUCUUCCUACACGUGGAACUCUGGUGUGGCCGUGCUGUAACAACAGGAGAUGUCAGAAACCCCCACCAAGAGCAACACCAAGCUGCUCAGCAUGCAGGGAGGAGGAAGGAGAGUUGAAAUGCCAUUUCACUGUACUUCCUUAAGUUAUUUGUUCCCUGUGUUGCUGCAUUGGUGCAGUCACAAAGUGUGUUAUUCCAAAAGAUACAGGGCAAGAAUUCUGAGUCUGGAUCUCUGGAAAUCUUAGUAUGAGUUAAUAAAAUCCCUUCAAAAAACAG